Molecule: transfer RNA, 76 nt
Filed under: Alburnus tarichi (tarek)
Lineage: Eukaryota; Metazoa; Chordata; Actinopteri; Cypriniformes; Leuciscidae
Description: tRNA-Lys
Rfam family: tRNA
About the family: Transfer RNA (tRNA) molecules are approximately 80 nucleotides in length. Their secondary structure includes four short double-helical elements and three loops (D, anti-codon, and T loops).
Source: RNAcentral
CACUAGAAAGCUAAUUAUGGACAAAAGCGUUGGCCCUUUAACCUAAAGGUUGGUGGCUACCGACCACCUCUAGUGA